CGUGACUUGCACGUUAAACCUGGCUGAGUCAAAACUGUUACUCUCGCGCAGAGCUCCGACCUUGCCCACUACGAGGACACGUCAAAUCACAGCUGUACUCUCUCUUUUCGCAGGGUCAGAUCCACGGAGUCCAGCAUCUUCGUGACAUAAUAUAAGCUGUUCUGGAACGGGAACGAACGCUUAAGUCGUUUUAUGGAGGCUUGUGGGACGCAACGAAACAUUUCUUAAAGUAUUGGCACUGAGGAUAUCAGUUCAGACCCCCCUUUGAUUCGGAACAUAGUCUUGUUUGGAUUUCAGCCUGUUUGAAAUGUGGCGUUUUGUGCUCGAGAUAAAUGUGCUAUGUGUGUGAUUUGGAGAGGAUCUUGUGGAAGGUGUCCAGUGGGAAAGAGACUGGGUGGACUCAUCUGCAACUGAUCCCCGUUUUCUGAUCGCAAUGGACUUGGAAUGAAGACAAAACAUGGAUAUAAUCUGGGAAAUAUUUAUUAUCCUUCAAGCCAAUCUCAUCGUUUGCACUUCAGCUCAGCCAAAUCCACCCAAAAUCCAUGAGGGAUGGUGGGCUUACAAAGAAGUUGUUCAGGGGAGCUUUGUUCCAGUGCCAUCGUUCUGGGGGCUUGUAAAUUCUGCAUGGAAUCUGUGUUCUGUGGGGAAGAGACAGUCUCCAGUCAAUAUUGAGACGAGCCAUAUGAUAUUUGAUCCCUUCUUGACACCACUGAGGCUCAACACUGGCGGACGAAAGGUUGGAGGGACGAUGUACAACACCGGCCGCCAUGUCUCACUCCGAUUGGACAAAGAGCACCUGGUGAACAUCUCCGGUGGACCAAUGACAUACAGCCAUCGUCUUGAGGAGAUCAGGUUACACUUUGGAAGUGAGGAUGGACAGGGCUCUGAGCAUCUCCUCAACGGCCAGGCUUUCUCUGGGGAGGUGCAGCUUAUACAUUACAACCAUGAACUGUACACAAACUACACAGAAGCUGCUAAGAGUCCAAAUGGCUUGGUGAUAGUGUCUAUAUUCAUGAAGAUAUCCGAGACUUCAAAUUCAUUUCUGAAUCGGAUGUUGAACAGAGACACCAUCACAAGAAUAACAUAUAAGAAUGAUGCAUACCUGCUCUCUGGGCUAAACAUUGAGGAGGUUUAUCCAGAGACGGCAAGUUUUAUCACUUAUGAAGGGUCUAUGACAAUCCCACCGUGCUACGAGACCGCAACGUGGAUUCUGAUGAACAAGCCAAUUUACGUCACAAAGAUGCAGAUGCACUCCAUGCGACUGCUAAGUCAGAACCAGCCCUCGCAGAUAUUCCUCAGCAUGAGUGACAACGUGCGCCCGGUACAGCCUCUGAACAACCGCUGUAUCCGCACCAACAUCAACUUCAGCAUGCAGGGCAAGGACUGCCCCAACAACAGGGCACAGAAGUUGCAGUACCGAGUCUCCAUAAAGUAUACUGCAUUUACUGACUUUGACUGUUGUGUCUACAUGCAUUUGAAAGAUUGAGGAUACAGUUUUUCUCCCAACAUUUGGCUGUACCUUUUGACCUCCGUAUUCCAUUUGAACGAAUGGCUGCUGAAAUAGAGCCAGGAUGUGGACCAGCCCAAGAACACUAACAUGAAAAAGAAUGAAGAGAAGGGCUCGUGGAUCAGUGCAGAAUGAAGACUGACAUAUGUCCUGCCAGAUAAAAUCAUGACGUUGUAAAAAAAAAAAAAAAAAAAAAGAAAACAAACCCCAGCCAGAAGAGACUUUGCACUCUUGGCAAAGUAAUCCAAUUUCAUACAUCCAAUCAAAACUAGUAACAUACAGUUAUAACUACACACGUUUUGAUACCUUUUUUGGGAGAAAAAAAAAUAUAUAUAACAUUUAUUCCAUAGGCUCUUCACAAAUGGAACCGAAUGUUUUUAGCCUUUGUACAUAUGGACAACUUGCUACCAAUCUGGGAAAAGGGACAGGAAAUUGAACCACCCUACCAAUGCAGAAACAUCCUUGAAUCAUAACUGAAUUCUCAAUCUUUAUUCUCGCUCACGCUGUGAAGAGGAGGGAGAGGCAGCCUUGCAGGUUUAACCAUCACAAAGACUGAUAUGAUGUGAUGUUGUCUGUGGGGGGGGGGGGGGUGUCUUGACCUUGUAAAUAUAAUUAUUCAUGCUAAAAAUGAAUAUGUAAAGAUACAAAUAAACAUAAAAAAAUAAUAGAGGGAAAAUAAAUGAAAAAAGUUUAAUAUUUUAUGCUUGGCGCACUUUCUGGAGCAGAGCUGAUGCCUUUUUUUCUGUUUCAUUGUUUACAAUGGUCAUACACUGUGUUUGAUUAAUGUUAUCGGCCCAAUAAAUGUGUUUGGAACGUU
This is an RNA transcript of Carassius carassius (crucian carp), 2324 nucleotides long. It is a transcript of the gene named carbonic anhydrase Xa, with no coding region annotated. Lineage: Eukaryota; Metazoa; Chordata; Actinopteri; Cypriniformes; Cyprinidae. The transcript has 10 exons. The record is from RefSeq and is a predicted model, not a curated record.